GCGGUCAUGCUGGAAUUGGUAGACAGGCACGGUUGAGGGCCGUGUGGGUUUUCCCGUGAGAGUUCAAGUCUCUCUGACCGCACCA
Molecule: transfer RNA, 85 nt
Filed under: alpha proteobacterium HIMB114
Lineage: Bacteria; Pseudomonadati; Pseudomonadota; Alphaproteobacteria; Candidatus Pelagibacterales; Candidatus Pelagibacteraceae
Also listed under: 4 other names
Description: tRNA-Leu
Source: RNAcentral